GUCAGAAGACCACUAAUUUCGCGGCCGCGUUCCACGAAGCUAAGGGGCAAAAAACCAGCUUUCUUGGGACAAAGCGUCCCCCCAGCAGCCAGGGUCGAUCCCGGCGCUGCUCCCGCGGCGCUUGGCUGCCCCGGGCGUAACGGGCCACGAGAAGUAGGGGGUGGGGCGCCGCUUAGGUUUGGGAAGACACGAAGCGGCUCCUCGGGCUUCCAGCGUCCACUUCCUACGGCAAGCAG
This 236-nucleotide long non-coding RNA is filed under the name Homo sapiens (human). RNAcentral describes it as "HSALNT0184099". The record is from RNAcentral. Lineage: Eukaryota; Metazoa; Chordata; Mammalia; Primates; Hominidae.